CUCGAAAUCCUCUCCAGAAGAUUGUGGGACCCUCUGAAGAGCAGAGAGGAAAGAAAAGUGAAGUCCCAUUGCUUAAGCUCAGUGCUGCCUGUGCAGCCUUGGAUGCAACACAGUAUCUUUCUACUGCUAUAGUGUGGGAAACUGCAUGCAAAAGCUGUUCAUUGUGUGGAUAAAGUAUUGUAUACUCAAGGCCAUGAAGUCUUAUUAUUAACACUUUUCAGGUAAGGUUUAGCAUUCUAUGGUUUCUAGAUUAGCUAUAUGGAAUCUGAAGCUCAGAGAGACUAAGUAAUUUGACCGAGAUCUCCACUGGAGUUUCUGGCAUAGACAGAGAAAGCUGUUCUAUUGAAUUACAUGCCAGUAUCUUUGGAAUCAAUUGUCCCUGUGUAUAUUUUUAUAUGCCUAGUGCUGGGAACAGAGGCUAUUAAUAGCCUCACUACUGUAAAGUCAUGCAGACUUUAUAACUAUGCGACUAUAUUUCUCCACUAGGGAAUCCACUAACUUGUUUUGAAUCUGUUGCAUUGUUGUAGAGUUGCUGUCUGAUUACUGAGGGUGGGACGUUCAUUACGAUCUUAUCUUUAAACAAUAGCUGGCCAGGGUCUGGAACUUGGCAAAGGAAUACUAAUGAUGCAGAAUAGGAUAUCAGUGUUUUCUUAAUGGGAGAGAUACAGAGAUCUCUCUGAGGUGAUACACACACACACACACACACACACACACACACCUGCAACUGGACCUGAGAAAAGAACAAGAGAAGCAAGUCAGAAAAACUGCAAUUUGAGACUGAGAGGAGAGGGAAUGGACUGAAGGCAAAAGGGCAUAUGGGGAUGCUGGGGGGUCUGAUGUGGAGAAGGAUGAACAAAUCAGUCAAUGUCCCUUUGUUUCCCUUGGUUUUCUGAUCUUCAGUUAACAAAUCCACAUGAAAAUCCACUAGCAUUUUGGUGACAAUUUCUUCUAAUAUGCACAUUUUCCUAUGCAAUUUUGCCUGAUACACACACUUUUGUGAGCAAUAUCCCCCCAGUACAGUGCAUUUGGUUAUGUGAUUUUUCACUAAUAUAUGCAUUCUUAUGCACGCUUUCCCCUAAUGUGCACAUUUUUGCACAGAUGUGGUGAUUGAGGAGUGGGGAUUUCCAAGGGUAGUUGUGCUUCAGUUUGUGCAUUGUUUCAGAAGGCAGGUUUGGAUUAAAAUGUGAACGAAACUGAAUUUCUCCCCUUGGUGCAAAGCAGUGGAUUUACUGCUUGUAGGAGAACUAUGCUUGUCUCAGCCUACAGUGGUACCUCAGGUUACAGGCGCUUCAGGUUACAGACAACGCUAACCCAGAAAUAGUACCUCGAGUUAAGAACUUUGCUUCAGGAUGAGAACAGAAACCACGCGGUGGCAGCAUGGCAGCAGCGGGAGGCCCCAUUAGCUAAAGUGGUACCUCAGGUUAAGAACAGUUUCAGGUUAAGAACGGACCUCCAGAACGAAUUAAGUUCUUAACCCGAGGUACCACUGUAUUCUCAGCCUGUUUGUGUGUGAAUGAAUCCAAAUACAAUAUGCCUCCUGUGAUCCCUCCUACCAAAGGAAACCUAAACUGUCCCUAAGCUUUUCUCUGCUCAGGAAAGUCAGAUGGGCAUAACAGUAUCAAUAUUUCUGCCUCGUGAAUUUUACUGCAUGAGAACAUAGGAAGACUUUGCUGGAUGAGGCCAAUGGCCCAUCUGGUCCAGUAUCUCAUUCUUACAUAGGCCACUCAGAUGCCCACAGGAAGCAUAGUUAGCAAAUCCUUCUUCUUCUUCUUUUUGUCUUGGAUAUAUCUCCCAUAAAAGCUCCUGCGUAUCCUCAUUUUUUGCCCAUGAUUUGUUCCUCUCCCCAGCCUCUGACAGCUCACUUCUGUUCCAAGCCCUCUACAGCAGCUCUCGAGUGACAACUUUUGACUCUCUGGAAUUGUGCCUGUUAUCAGUAGCCAUCCACACACCAGCC
Podarcis lilfordi (Lilford's wall lizard) is the source of this 1954-nucleotide non-coding RNA. The record is from the annotation of a GenBank genome assembly. NCBI's taxonomy places the organism in Eukaryota, Metazoa, Chordata, Lepidosauria, Squamata, Lacertidae.